AUUUCCUGUUUGUGUGGUCUAGUUGAGUAGGAAAAAUGUGGGAGUGGAUUGUUAAUGACAAGAUCAAUUGAYGUUAUUUCCUCAACUAGACAAUCCUGUGGUACAAUUUAAAAGACCUACAUACUGUAAUUAUUUUAGAAUAUAAAAUUAUAAAUAUAGUAAUAUCAUUGUACAGAAACUACUCCACACGUUUGUUCUACCUUUAUACAUAUGGGCUUCAGUGACACUGUAAAAUGGGAGAGCAGCACAAAUACAGGCUACAUUUUAAACUAUCAUUUUGAAAUAUAUUCCAAACUGAUCAAAACUAAUGAAUGUGGUGUCAUGUAAAAAUAUUGUGAUUUAUCCUAAAUAAAUGUCAUGCUCUGAAACCCAGUUUAAAUUCCUUAUUUCCACUUUCUAACAGAUUCCAAUUUAAAGCAUUUUGUUGCAAUGAACUUUUGUAGAUACUGUGAGAAUAAAAGAUAUUGAUCGUGAUGGAGGCAAGUAACCUGGCGGCAUUGGGCCAGUACCCAAAAGGUAGCUGGUUCAAAUCCCUGAACUGAAURGGUGAAAGCUCUUUCCAUCUGCCCCUAAUUGCUCCUCCUUCAGGUGUUGAUGACUCCUGCCAACUGUGGUAGGCUACCUGGGUCCAGCUGAGGAUUUGUCACCAUAGUAACUCCACACCGGGUAUCCUGUAGGCUAUUACUGGCCUGUGACAACUGAAGCCAUCUCACAAUGGCUAGUCCUGUUCCUAUUGUGGUAGCGUUCCCUAUAGUGGAGUUAGUUGAGCCAAAGGGUUAAGUUGAGCCACCCUUGUUUCUAGGAAACCAUACUGUGAUGAUCCUCCUCAUGUCCACUGUCACCUCAUCUAAAGCAGGGCCUUAGUAUCAAUAAUCAGACAUUGCAAACGGUUAAUGAUUUAUAAGAAACACAUUUAUUAAUUGUAAUUGUGUGGUUAGCGAUGCUCUUCUGAUUGAUAAUCAUCUGUGAAAGAGAGAAGAAACUUGUGUUAGAGUUUAUUGACAUGUGUGCUGUAUAAACACGUGUCUAUGAACUGAACAUGUUGUAAUGUAGUUAAUGCAUUAUGAAUGUUAYUUGAUCAUUGUGUCAAGUCUUCCUCCCAUUGGCUGAUGCAUUGUGGGUAUGUGUACUUAAAUCAUGUCACAGCAAACUGCUGGGUUUUGGUUGAAGAGUGUUAUUCGUGUAUAUCCUUUGGUUGCCAUGACCAAUUUGUUUUGUAAAUACUUGUACAGUUUUCYGUGGCUAUUUAUCUUCAUGUUUGCUAAUAAAAGCUGUGAGCAGAAAAAAAACA
Salvelinus sp. IW2-2015 is the source of this 1291-nucleotide non-coding RNA. NCBI's taxonomy places the organism in Eukaryota, Metazoa, Chordata, Actinopteri, Salmoniformes, Salmonidae. The record is from RefSeq and is a predicted model, not a curated record.